GCAAGUCGAGCGGGUGAGGUUGCUUCGGUAACUGAGCUAGCGGCGGACGGGUGAGUAAUGCUUAGGAAUCUGCCCUUUAGUGGGGGACAACAUUCCGAACGGGAUGCUAAUACCGCAUACGCCCUACGGGGGAAAGCAGGGGAUCUUCGGACCUUGCGCUAAAUGAUGAGCCUAAGUCGGAUUAGCUAGUUGGUGGGGUAAAGGCCUACCAAGGCGACGAUCUGUAGCGGGUCUGAGAGGGUGAUC
This 246-nucleotide ribosomal RNA is filed under the name uncultured bacterium. RNAcentral describes it as "partial 16S ribosomal RNA". It matches the Rfam family "Bacterial small subunit ribosomal RNA", at positions 57 to 305 of the family's 1533-position model. The record is from RNAcentral.